AAAACUAAAGUUAUAUGGAUUGCCUGAUUUUCAGCCUUGUUCCCCUCC
This 48-nucleotide small RNA is filed under the name Arabidopsis thaliana (thale cress). RNAcentral's name for it is "ATSL175730". The record is from RNAcentral. Lineage: Eukaryota; Viridiplantae; Streptophyta; Magnoliopsida; Brassicales; Brassicaceae.